This 459-nucleotide ribosomal RNA is filed under the name uncultured bacterium. RNAcentral describes it as "partial 16S ribosomal RNA". It matches the Rfam family "Bacterial small subunit ribosomal RNA", at positions 338 to 795 of the family's 1533-position model. The record is from RNAcentral.
CCUACGGGAGGCAGCAGUGAGGAAUAUUGGUCAAUGGACGAGAGUCUGAACCAGCCAAGUAGCGUGAAGGAUGACUGCCCUAUGGGUUGUAAACUUCUUUUAUAUGGGAAUAAAACACAGUAUGUAUACUCCUUUGUAUGUACCUUAUGAAUAAGGAUCGGCUAACUCCGUGCCAGCAGCCGCGGUAAUACGGAGGUUCGGGCGUUAUUCGGGUUUAAUGGGUUUAAAGGGGGCGUAGGCCGGAUGUUAAGCGUGCUGUGAAAGGUCGGGGCUCAACCCGAGCAUUGCAGCGGGAACUGGCGUGCUUGAGUACACGAAAGGCAGGCGGAAUUCGUCGUGUAGCGGUGAAAUGCUUAGAUAUGACGAAGAACCCCGAUUGCGAAGGCAGCUUGCUGGAGUGGAACUGACGCUGAUGCUCGAAAGCGCGGGUAUCAAACAGGAUUAGAUACCCCUGUAGUC